UCCACAAUGGUCUACUGGCAUGAUAUUGCGUUUUCACCGCAAAGAUCGGGGUUCAAUUCCCCGUUGCGGAA
This 71-nucleotide transfer RNA is filed under the name Coemansia sp. 'formosensis'. RNAcentral's name for it is "tRNA-Glu". It matches the Rfam family "tRNA". From Rfam's summary of the family: Transfer RNA (tRNA) molecules are approximately 80 nucleotides in length. The record is from RNAcentral. Lineage: Eukaryota; Fungi; Kickxellomycota; Kickxellomycetes; Kickxellales; Kickxellaceae.